RNAcentral lists this ribosomal RNA (1570 nucleotides) under Salmonella enterica subsp. enterica serovar Oranienburg. RNAcentral's name for it is "partial 23S ribosomal RNA". It matches the Rfam family "Bacterial large subunit ribosomal RNA", at positions 672 to 2141 of the family's 2925-position model. Lineage: Bacteria; Pseudomonadati; Pseudomonadota; Gammaproteobacteria; Enterobacterales; Enterobacteriaceae. The record is from RNAcentral.
GGAAACCGAGUCUUAACCGGGCGUUAAGUUGCAGGGUAUAGACCCGAAACCCGGUGAUCUAGCCAUGGGCAGGUUGAAGGUUGGGUAACACUAACUGGAGGACCGAACCGACUAAUGUUGAAAAAUUAGCGGAUGACCUGUGGCUGGGGGUGAAAGGCCAAUCAAACCGGGAGAUAGCUGGUUCUCCCCGAAAGCUAUUUAGGUAGCGCCUCGUGAAUUCAUCUCCGGGGGUAGAGCACUGUUUCGGCUAGGGGGCCAUCCCGGCUUACCAACCCGAUGCAAACUGCGAAUACCGGAGAAUGUUAUCACGGGAGACACACGGCGGGUGCUAACGUCCGUCGUGAAGAGGGAAACAACCCAGACCGCCAGCUAAGGUCCCAAAGUCAUGGUUAAGUGGGAAACGAUGUGGGAAGGCCCAGACAGCCAGGAUGUUGGCUUAGAAGCAGCCAUCAUUUAAAGAAAGCGUAAUAGCUCACUGGUCGAGUCGGCCUGCGCGGAAGAUGUAACGGGGCUAAACCAUGCACCGAAGCUGCGGCAGCGAACGUAUCACUUAAAGCGAUUCAGCGGGUUACGAUUGACGGAGCGAAGCGACGUCAAAGCGUAUACAAAGUCGAGUCGGUUUAAGGAUACGUUCGUUGGGUAGGGGAGCGUUCUGUAAGCCUGUGAAGGUGGCCUGUGAGGGUUGCUGGAGGUAUCAGAAGUGCGAAUGCUGACAUAAGUAACGAUAAAGCGGGUGAAAAGCCCGCUCGCCGGAAGACCAAGGGUUCCUGUCCAACGUUAAUCGGGGCAGGGUGAGUCGACCCCUAAGGCGAGGCCGAAAGGCGUAGUCGAUGGGAAACGGGUUAAUAUUCCCGUACUUGGUGUUACUGCGAAGGGGGGACGGAGAAGGCUAUGUUGGCCGGGCGACGGUUGUCCCGGUUUAAGCGUGUAGGUGUGUGUUCCAGGUAAAUCCGGUUCACUUUAACACUGAGGCGUGAUGACGAGGCACUACGGUGCUGAAGCAACAAAUGCCCUGCUUCCAGGAAAAGCCUCUAAGCAUCAGGUAACAUCAAAUCGUACCCCAAACCGACACAGGUGGUCAGGUAGAGAAUACCAAGGCGCUUGAGAGAACUCGGGUGAAGGAACUAGGCAAAAUGGUGCCGUAACUUCGGGAGAAGGCACGCUGACACGUAGGUGAAGUGAUUUACUCAUGGAGCUGAAGUCAGUCGAAGAUACCAGCUGGCUGCAACUGUUUAUUAAAAACACAGCACUGUGCAAACACGAAAGUGGACGUAUACGGUGUGACGCCUGCCCGGUGCCGGAAGGUUAAUUGAUGGGGUCAGCGCAAGCGAAGCUCCUGAUCGAAGCCCCGGUAAACGGCGGCCGUAACUAUAACGGUCCUAAGGUAGCGAAAUUCCUUGUCGGGUAAGUUCCGACCUGCACGAAUGGCGUAAUGAUGGCCAGGCUGUCUCCACCCGAGACUCAGUGAAAUUGAACUCGCUGUGAAGAUGCAGUGUACCCGCGGCAAGACGGAAAGACCCCGUGAACCUUUACUAUAGCUUGACACUGAACAUUGAGCCUUGAUGUGUAG